AUGUUUGGGAGAGGCCCUGUUGUUGGUCGUACACCUAUUCACAGAUGGAACUUUAAAAGGAGGGCCAUGAGGCAACAUCUUACUGGAUGGGCGAAACAUACCAACGGGAUAUAUAAAAAAGAAAAACAACGACUUUGUACCAUCAUUGAUGACCUCGACAAAAUUGCUGAGACGCGCACCUUAUCUCAACAAGAGAUUGAAUUGAAAAAUCAAUCUAAUGAGAAGGUUGCACGUCUUUUGUGA
Molecule: ribosomal RNA, 243 nt
Filed under: Triticum aestivum (bread wheat)
Lineage: Eukaryota; Viridiplantae; Streptophyta; Magnoliopsida; Poales; Poaceae
Description: partial small subunit ribosomal RNA
Source: RNAcentral